GGGGAAUAUUGCACAAUGGGGGGAACCCUGAUGCAGCGACGCCGCGUGGAGGAAGAAGGUCUUCGGAUUGUAAACUCCUGUUGUUGAGGAAGAUAAUGACGGUACUCAACAAGGAAGUGACGGCUAACUACGUGCCAGCAGCCGCGGUAAAACGUAGGUCACAAGCGUUGUCCGGAAUUACUGGGUGUAAAGGGAGCGCAGGCGGGAAGACAAGUUGGAAGUGAAAUCUAUGGGCUCAACCCAUAAACUGCUUUCAAAACUGUUUUUCUUGAGUAGUGCAGAGGUAGGCGGAAUUCCCGGUGUAGCGGUGGAAUGCGUAGAUAUCGGGAGGAACACCAGUGGCGAAGGCGGCCUACUGGGCACCAACUGACGCUGAGGCUCGAAAGUGUGGGUAGCAAACAGGAUUAGAUACCCUGGUAGUCCACACCGUAAACGAUGAUUACUAGGUGUUGGAGGAUUGACCCCUUCAGUGCCGCAGUUAACACAAUAAGUAAUCCACCUGGGGAGUACGACCGCAAGGUUGAAACUCAAAGGAAUUGACGGGGGCCCGCACAAGCAGUGGAGUAUGUGGUUUAAUUCGACGCAACGCGAAGAACCUUACCAAGUCUUGACAUCCCUUGACGAACAUAGAAAUAUGUUUUCUCUUCGGAGCAAGGAGACAGGUGGUGCAUGGUUGUCGUCAGCUCGUGUCGUGAGAUGUUGGGUUAAGUCCCGCAACGAGCGCAACCCUUACUGUCAGUUACUACGCAAGAGGACUCUGGCAGGACUGCCGUUGACAAAACGGAGGAAGGUGGGGAUGACGUCAAAUCAUCAUGCCCUUUAUGACUUGGGCUACACACGUACUACAAUGGCGUUAAACAAAGAGAAGCAAGACCGCGAGGUGGAGCAAAACUCAGAAACAACGUCCCAGUUCGGACUGCAGGCUGCAACUCGCCUGCACGAAGUCGGAAUUGCUAGUAAUCGUGGAUCAGCAUGCCACGGUGAAUACGUUCCCG
Molecule: ribosomal RNA, 995 nt
Filed under: uncultured bacterium
Lineage: Bacteria
Description: bacterial SSU rRNA
Rfam family: Bacterial small subunit ribosomal RNA
Source: RNAcentral